Molecule: ribosomal RNA, 1109 nt
Filed under: Tenacibaculum sp.
Lineage: Bacteria; Pseudomonadati; Bacteroidota; Flavobacteriia; Flavobacteriales; Flavobacteriaceae
Description: bacterial SSU rRNA
Rfam family: Bacterial small subunit ribosomal RNA
Source: RNAcentral
UGCAAGUCGAGGGGCAGCGUAGAUUGCUUGCAAUCUGACGGCGACCGGCGAACGGGUGCGUAACGCGUAUAGAAUCUGCCUUGUACAGGAGGAUAGCCUUUAGAAAUGAAGAUUAAUACUCCAUAAUGCUAAGAGAUGGCAUCAUUUUUUAGUUAAAGAUUUAUCGGUACAAGAUGACUAUGCGUCCUAUUAGCUAGAUGGUAAGGUAACGGCUUACCAUGGCAACGAUAGGUAGGGGGUCUGAGAGGAUUAUCCCCCACACUGGUACUGAGACACGGACCAGACUCCUACGGGAGGCAGCAGUGAGGAAUAUUGGUCAAUGGGCGCAAGCCUGAACCAGCCAUGCCGCGUGCAGGAUGACUGCCCUAUGGGUUGUAAACUGCUUUUAUACAGGAAGAAACAGUCCCUCGUGAGGGGCCUUGACGGUACUGUAAGAAUAAGCACCGGCUAACUCCGUGCCAGCAGCCGCGGUAAUACGGAGGGUGCAAGCGUUAUCCGGAAUCAUUGGGUUUAAAGGGUCCGCAGGCGGUCAAUUAAGUCAGAGGUGAAAUCCUACAGCUUAACUGUAGAACUGCCUUUGAUACUGGUUGACUUGAGUUAUACGGAAGUAGGUAGAAUGUGUAGUGUAGCGGUGAAAUGCAUAGAUAUUACACAGAAUACCGAUUGCGAAGGCAGCCUACUACGUAUAUACUGACGCUCAUGGACGAAAGCGUGGGGAGCGAACAGGAUUAGAUACCCUGGUAGUCCACGCCGUAAACGAUGGACACUAGUUGUUGGGCGUAAGUUCAGUGACUAAGCGAAAGUGAUAAGUGUCCCACCUGGGGAGUACGAUCGCAAGAUUGAAACUCAAAGGAAUUGACGGGGGCCCGCACAAGCGGUGGAGCAUGUGGUUUAAUUCGAUGAUACGCGAGGAACCUUACCAGGGCUUAAAUGUAGAGUGACAGGUCUAGAGAUAGAUUUUUCUUCGGACACUUUACAAGGUGCUGCAUGGUUGUCGUCAGCUCGUGCCGUGAGGUGUCAGGUUAAGUCCUAUAACGAGCGCAACCCCUAUCGUUAGUUGCUAGCAGGUAAUGCUGGAGGACUCUAGCGAGACUGCCGGUGCAAACCGU